CCCAAGAGUCCAUAUCGACGGGAUGGUUUGGCACCUCGAUGUCGGCUCGUCGCAUCCUGGGGCUGGAGCAGGUCCCAAGGGUUCGGCUGUUCGCCGAUUAAAGCGGCACGCGAGCUGGGUUCAGAACGUCGUGAGACAGUUUGGUCUCUAUCCUCUGCGCUCGUUGGAAUCCUGAGGAGGCCUGCCCAUAGUACGAGAGGACCUGGGUGGACGGACCUCUGGUAUGCCGGUUGUCGCGCCAGCGGCAUGGCCGGUUGGCUACGUUCGGGAGGGAUAACCGCUGAAAGCAUCUAAGCGGGAAGCCUGCUCCAAGAUUAGGAUUCCUUGGCACUUCGGUGUCUGUAGCCCGCAUGUUGAACACGUGUUCGAUAGGCCGGAGGUGGAAGCCCCGCGAGGGGUGGAGCCGACCGGUACUAACGGGCGAACGCGGCACACU
RNAcentral lists this ribosomal RNA (436 nucleotides) under human gut metagenome. RNAcentral describes it as "bacterial LSU rRNA". It matches the Rfam family "Bacterial large subunit ribosomal RNA", at positions 2491 to 2925 of the family's 2925-position model. The record is from RNAcentral.